RNAcentral lists this ribosomal RNA (866 nucleotides) under Isoptericola sp. MCCC 1A09954. RNAcentral's name for it is "bacterial SSU rRNA". It matches the Rfam family "Bacterial small subunit ribosomal RNA", at positions 56 to 933 of the family's 1533-position model. Lineage: Bacteria; Bacillati; Actinomycetota; Actinomycetes; Micrococcales; Promicromonosporaceae. The record is from RNAcentral.
UGCAAGUCGAACGGUGAAGCCCAGCUUGCUGGGUGGAUCAGUGGCGAACGGGUGAGUAACACGUGAGCAACCUGCCCUCCACUUCGGGAUAAGCCUUGGAAACGGGGUCUAAUACCGGAUAUGAGCAUCCAUCGCAUGGUGGGUGUUGGAAAGUUUUUCGGUGGGGGAUGGGCUCGCGGCCUAUCAGCUUGUUGGUGGGGUGAUGGCCUACCAAGGCGUCGACGGGUAGCCGGCCUGAGAGGGCGACCGGCCACACUGGGACUGAGACACGGCCCAGACUCCUACGGGAGGCAGCAGUGGGGAAUAUUGCACAAUGGGCGCAAGCCUGAUGCAGCGACGCCGCGUGAGGGAUGACGGCCUUCGGGUUGUAAACCUCUUUCAGCAGGGAAGAAGCGCAAGUGACGGUACCUGCAGAAGAAGCGCCGGCUAACUACGUGCCAGCAGCCGCGGUAAUACGUAGGGCGCAAGCGUUGUCCGGAAUUAUUGGGCGUAAAGAGCUCGUAGGCGGUCUGUCGCGUCUGGUGUGAAAUCCCGAGGCUCAACCUCGGGCUUGCAUCGGGUACGGGCAGACUAGAGUGCGGUAGGGGAGACUGGAAUUCCUGGUGUAGCGGUGGAAUGCGCAGAUAUCAGGAGGAACACCGAUGGCGAAGGCAGGUCUCUGGGCCGCAACUGACGCUGAGGAGCGAAAGCAUGGGGAGCGAACAGGAUUAGAUACCCUGGUAGUCCAUGCCGUAAACGUUGGGCACUAGGUGUGGGGCUCAUUCCACGAGUUCCGUGCCGCAGCUAACGCAUUAAGUGCCCCGCCUGGGGAGUACGGGCCGCAAGGCUAAAACUCAAAGGAAUUGACGGGGGCCCGCACAAGCGGC